This is a small nucleolar RNA of Paramisgurnus dabryanus, 77 nucleotides long. RefSeq annotates it as small nucleolar RNA SNORD49. NCBI's taxonomy places the organism in Eukaryota, Metazoa, Chordata, Actinopteri, Cypriniformes, Cobitidae. The record is from RefSeq and is a predicted model, not a curated record.
UCCAAAGAUGAAAACGCUACAUAGGAAGUGCCGUCUUAUGCGAUAACUGACGAUAGCAAAGCAAAAUUAUUCUGAGG